UACUAUCGCAGACUUUCGCGGUGCGGAGCAUGUUGCGUAAGUUAGUACACCAGCGACCACCGACCGAAUAGAAUCACCGUCGACCCUAUGAUCUCCUGCAGCAGGAUGCAACGGACCGAACGUCCAAACCAUGAUACUAUAUUAAAAUGAUAAACGGGUCUGAAAACGAGUGCGACCGGUUCGCGGAUCGGUCACGGAAAACGGAUUUAUUAAAAUCGAAGCGCAUAUACUUGAGCACAAGUUUAUUAUACAAUACAAUAAUAUACACGCUGAUACGAGGAUAGUGGUCAUCCCGGUCGGGAAGAAUAAUAUACUGGUUUUCGCAGCCUGGACCCUGGGAAAUGCUAUGCACAGUGAUCGGGAACGGGACGGUUCUGCAGGGAAAGAGAUGUAAAAUUGUAAUAACAAUAAUGAUAAUGUGUUUUAUUAUUUACGCAUAGGUGUAUGAUCGUCGCGGUGACCGUCAUUUGAAUAAAAUCCAAUCGAUACAAUAUGCGAAAAUAUCCGUCGGACGACGACGACGACCACCGACUCGCGGAGGAGCUGCAGCACAAAGCGACGACACAACAAAACGUGUACAUCCAAAAGUCUAAGAACGGAAUCAACAGAGCCAGAUAUUACUAUAAUAAUAGUUGGAAACAAAGACGAUACGACAAAGGAAACACAAUGUACCAUAUACCCAGUCACAAUAUCAUUUCGGUUAAUUUGACCACCUUAACUGUACGGUUUGGUAGCAAUAAAACGAGUAAAUUCUGAAGUCGUACCGGGACAGUGAACGUUAUAAUUAGUGUAUUGAUUAUGAAAUAAAUAAUGCUGAUGAACCCGAUCCAUUCAACUUGGGCAUGCCACUCUGAAUUUCAGAGUCAACAAGACGUGCAGGAAAAUACAUAGAUCGGCUAGACUUGGGCGUGAGGUACUAUCACGCUGUUCAACGACACUCGACGGGACGUGCGCGGAAGUCGUACAUGCAUUAUAAUAAUAUUAUUAUAGGUACCUAUCGUAUAACGUGCUUUGCUAUCAUCACUCGGAGAGAGAACAGAAAAAUAAUAUAAUAAUAGAAAAAACGAAAAUCGUGCGCG
Molecule: long non-coding RNA, 1079 nt
Organism: Myzus persicae (green peach aphid)
Lineage: Eukaryota; Metazoa; Arthropoda; Insecta; Hemiptera; Aphididae
Exons: 4
Source: RefSeq, a predicted model, not a curated record